UUUGAAUGCGUCCAUGAGUA
RNAcentral lists this non-coding RNA (20 nucleotides) under Arabidopsis thaliana (thale cress). Lineage: Eukaryota; Viridiplantae; Streptophyta; Magnoliopsida; Brassicales; Brassicaceae. The record is from RNAcentral.